This 299-nucleotide long non-coding RNA is filed under the name Physcomitrium patens. RNAcentral describes it as "long non-coding RNA (PPAT_LNC002832)". The record is from RNAcentral. Lineage: Eukaryota; Viridiplantae; Streptophyta; Bryopsida; Funariales; Funariaceae.
GGGUAGGGCCACAUCUAACACCAGCCCUUGUGCACAAAGGACUGAUUACCUCUGCACCAUAAUUCACUUUUGCAGUAGAGAACUUCUCUGUUUGUUUAAAAAAGUAGUAGAAAUAGUUAAAUCAACAAAUAGGUCCAUACUCACCACUGACAUAAGUAAGUGGACAAUGGACAUAAGCGAGACAGUGCCCUCCCUUAUCACCAACUUAUUUCUUUUAACACUAAAAUAAUACUUGCAACAUUAAAAAAAAUUAAGUAUAAAUGGAAUAUUUUUAAAAGAAAAAGAAAAACACAAACAAC